GUGGCCAGGCAGGCAGGUGGACGAGUCCAGGCAGCGGCUGAGUCAGUGUGUGUGGAAUGUUCUGGCCGCUCCCAGCUGCACCCUGCCCCUACCUGCCACCACCUCACCUUCAUCCUCAGGCGCUGCGGCCCUGAGCCCCUGCCAGGAAUGCACCUUUAGCCCAGGCCUGCUCAGUGAGCUCCGCCGACAGCCAGCCCUGCUCCUCCCGCCAUGACCCUGCAGACCCCUCUGGGCUUCCAAGUUCCUGGGGGCUGCAGUGAACAUGCUCCACCUGUAUGGCUGGCAAACCACGGUGGGCCCCAGCUGUGCAGCGUAGAAAGAUGGGGCACCCACCAGACUCUCCCAGUGCCCCGGCCCCAGCUGGCACCACAGCUAUACCUGGGCUUAUUCCAGACCUUGUCGCCGGGACCCCCUGGCCCCGCUGGGCUCUCAUUGCCGGCGCCCUUGCCGCGGGCAUCCUCCUCGUCUCCUGCCUCCUCUGUGCUGCCUGCUGCUGCUGCCGCCACCACAGGAAGAAGCCCAGGGACAAGGAGGCCGUGGGUCUGGGCAGUGCCCGUGGCACCACCACCACCCACCUGGUGCAACCUGAUGUGGAUGGCCUGGAGUCCAGCCCGGGGGGUGCUCAGCAAUGGGGGCGCCUGCAGCUCUCCCUGGAGUACGACUUUGGAAGCCAGGAGGUGAAGAGCCCUGCUGUGCAGGACCAGCGGUUCUGCGAGUUUCCGGAAAGGGUGACGGGGGAAGGGCAGACCCCGUGCCCUGGGUGGUGGGGAGCUGACAGGGCAGGGGCCCUUGGCUGAGCCCACCCCCCUGGCUCCCAGAUCAGGGUGGGCCUGAGGCAGGCAGCCGACCUGAGGCCUGGGGGCACCGUGGACCCCUAUGCCCGGGUCAGCGUCUCCACCCGGGCCGGACACAGACAUGAGACAAAAGUGCACCGAGGCACGCUCUGCCCCGUGUUUGACGAGACCUGCUGCUUCCACGUGAGUCAGGGAUGGUCGGCUGGGUGGGCCUGGACGGCUGGAUGGGCCUGGGCUGGGUGGGCCUGGGCAGCUGGGUGGGCCUGAGCUAGGGCAGCAGGGCCUGGCUCACGCCGCUGCCUCAGAUCCCGCAGGCGGAACUGCCAGGGGCCACCCUGCAGGUGCAGCUUUUCAACUUCAAGCGCUUCUCGGGGCAUGAGCCCCUGGGUGAGCUCCGCCUGCCACUGGGCACCGUGGAUCUGCAGCAUGUUCUGGAGCACUGGUACCCGCUGGGCCCGCCGGCUGCCACUGAGCCCGAGCAGGUCGGGGAGCUGUGCUUCUCUCUCCGGUACGUGCCCAGCUCAGGCCGGCUGACCGUGGUGGUGCUGGAGGCUCGAGGCCUGCGUCCAGGACUGGCAGAGCCCUACGUGAAGGUCCAGCUCAUGCUGAACCAGAGGAAGUGGAAGAAGAGAAAGACAGCCACCAAAAAGGGCACGGCGGCCCCCUACUUCAAUGAGGCCUUCACCUUCCUGGUGCCCUUCAGCCAGGUCCAGGUGGGCCACCGGGAGGCAGGGGCAGAGCGAGACCCAGUGCCGGACCACGACGACUGUGGUCUUUCUCCCCCAACCCCAACCUCUGGCCUGUCUCUGCACAGAAUGUGGACCUGGUGCUGGCCGUCUGGGACCGCAGCCUGCCGCUCCAAACUGAGCCCGUAGGCAAGGUGCACCUGGGUGCCCGGGCCUCGGGGCAGCCCCUGCAGCACUGGGCAGACAUGCUGGCCCACGCCCGGCGGCCCGUCGCCCAGUGGCACCCCCUGCGGCCAGCCAGGGAGGUGGACCGCAUGCUGGCCCUGCAGCCCCGCCUUCGCCUGCGCCUGCCCUUGCCCCACUCCUGAAUGCACCACGUGCCUCUCUUUCCCCGCUGAGCCCAGGCACUUGCCCAGGCCGCCCUGCAGGACCACUGCAAUAAACGCCUUCUCCUGCCA
RNAcentral lists this small RNA (1938 nucleotides) under Pan troglodytes (chimpanzee). RNAcentral describes it as "retained intron". The record is from RNAcentral. Lineage: Eukaryota; Metazoa; Chordata; Mammalia; Primates; Hominidae.